Molecule: ribosomal RNA, 637 nt
Filed under: Yersinia enterocolitica
Lineage: Bacteria; Pseudomonadati; Pseudomonadota; Gammaproteobacteria; Enterobacterales; Yersiniaceae
Description: partial 23S ribosomal RNA
Rfam family: Bacterial large subunit ribosomal RNA
Source: RNAcentral
GAAACCGUGUACGUACAAGCAGUGGGAGCACCUUCGUGGUGUGACUGCGUACCUUUUGUAUAAUGGGUCAGCGACUUAUAUUUUGUAGCAAGGUUAACCGAAUAGGGGAGCCGUAGGGAAACCGAGUCUUAACUGGGCGAAUAGUUGCAAGGUAUAGACCCGAAACCCGGUGAUCUAGCCAUGGGCAGGUUGAAGGUUGGGUAACACUAACUGGAGGACCGAACCGACUAAUGUUGAAAAAUUAGCGGAUGACUUGUGGCUGGGGGUGAAAGGCCAAUCAAACCGGGAGAUAGCUGGUUCUCCCCGAAAGCUAUUUAGGUAGCGCCUCGUGAACUCAUCUUCGGGGGUAGAGCACUGUUUCGGCUAGGGGGUCAUCCCGACUUACCAAACCGAUGCAAACUCCGAAUACCGAAGAAUGUUAUCACGGGAGACACACGGCGGGUGCUAACGUCCGUCGUGAAGAGGGAAACAACCCAGACCGCCAGCUAAGGUCCCAAAGUCAUGGUUAAGUGGGAAACGAUGUGGGAAGGCAUAGACAGCCAGGAUGUUGGCUUAGAAGCAGCCAUCAUUUAAAGAAAGCGUAAUAGCUCACUGGUCGAGUCGGCCUGCGCGGAAGAUGUAACGGGGCUAAACCAUG